RNAcentral lists this ribosomal RNA (416 nucleotides) under Paenibacillus sp. R-41943. Its description in RNAcentral is "bacterial SSU rRNA". It matches the Rfam family "Bacterial small subunit ribosomal RNA", at positions 28 to 430 of the family's 1533-position model. The record is from RNAcentral. Lineage: Bacteria; Bacillati; Bacillota; Bacilli; Caryophanales; Paenibacillaceae.
GACGAACGCUGGCGGCAUGCCUAAUACAUGCAAGUCGAGCGGAGUUGAUAGGAAGCUUGCUUCCUUGAUACUUAGCGGCGGACGGGUGAGUAACACGUAGGCAACCUGCCCUCAAGUUUGGGACAACUACCGGAAACGGUAGCUAAUACCGAAUAAUUGUUUUCUUCGCCUGAAGGAAACUGGAAAGACGGAGCAAUCUGUCACUUGGGGAUGGGCCUGCGGCGCAUUAGCUAGUUGGUGAGGUAACGGCUCACCAAGGCGACGAUGCGUAGCCGACCUGAGAGGGUGAUCGGCCACACUGGGACUGAGACACGGCCCAGACUCCUACGGGAGGCAGCAGUAGGGAAUCUUCCGCAAUGGGCGAAAGCCUGACGGAGCAAUGCCGCGUGAGUGAUGAAGGUUUUCGGAUCGUAAAG